UAUGUUAAAGUUUGCAUUGCAUAAAUUACAUAUAAAACAAAAGAAUAAAGCAUCAAUCAAUCAAGCUCUGAACAAAAAUUUAGAAACCCAGCUUCAAUUUUCUUUGUGUAAGGCUGCAUUACAUAAUUAUAGAUGAAAUACAAAAAUCCCUCAAGUUAUUCCAUCAAUCUUCUGAUCUUAAAAGUGUAGUAAUCAAGUUCCUCAACAAAAUUGAGAAAUCCUACAUUAAAUUUAUAAGAUCGCAUUACAUAAAUUACAGAUGAAAUUAAUACAAACACAAAUCAAUUUUGUCAUGAUCUAAGUUCCCCAGAAAAAAAUUGAGAAACCCAGCUUUAAAUUUCUAAUUUAAGGUUUGGAUUACAUAAAUUACAGAUGAAAUACAAAGAAAGAUCAAUUUAUUGAACAAUCUUGUUAUCUUAGAAGUGCACAUUCCUGUUCCCAAAUAACAAAAUCUAGCUAAUCAGCAAGAAAUAACCGAAUCCCAACGAGAACUAAAAAUAGAAACAUCAAAUCCAGACAGAGAUAGAAAGCGAUACCUGAUAGAAAAUGACUGGAGUACUAAACUCUUGGUUGAAAAAGAUCAGAAACAAACAGUAUUCCAAGACAGAAAAGGAGAGAUUUUAUUGGAUAAUUUAAAGAGCAUUUGAAGUAGUUACUAGUUUAUAAAAGGAAAAAAUGAUAGUGUAUUUAUAAAGGACAAAAUGUAAUGGGACAAAGACAAAGAUUGAGGCUGAUAAGGAAAGAAGAAGCUUAAAGUCAAUUGAAACCGUUAAGCACCCCAAGAAAUUGUGGCGGUCGUGGUUUUAGAUUAUGAACAAAUAGCUUGCACGCAUUCAUUUAAUUCAGAUUGCAGAUGGGUUACGCGGGAAGCAACGUUUUCUGUCUUAUCUUCUCUGCUAUAAGAUACAUAUAUACGUACAGAAAGAUACCGUGGAGUGGGAUUUGACGCGGAAAGAACUGGUGGUAUUUCCUAUUGACUUGGAGUCUUCACUUCGUAAAGAGAGAAGCUACAGCUUGUGGGAAAAUGAUUAUUUUGUUGAACUUGUUAAGGUUUGACUCUUCAAUUUAACGAGUGUCAAACGUAAACGUGUCAAUGAAUCUAGGUCGAGCCGGCUAGUGUCAUGCGCAACCCAAUAAAAAAACUCCAGCUUUUUUAGCCCUGUUGAGCCAAAGCCCCGAUCGAAAUUUAGAGGCUUGACUCAGGCUUUUGGCUCGGGUCGGCUCACAAUUUUUUUUUUUAAAUUCAUGAAAUAUUCAUAUAAAGAAGUAAAAUAAGUUCUCCUUCUCGAUUAAAAUACAAUAAAAAAUAUUUCUAUAGAUACGAGAAUAUAUGAAUUAGAGUACAAUUUUCAAGUGUAUAAAUAUCUUAAUAUUCAUUUGUAGAAUUAAAAAUAUUGGAAUAAAAAAUAUCUUUGAAGUUUCAACACCACAAAAAAAUAAAUAAUAUCAUAUUAACUCCUAUAUAAUUAAAUUUUAAUUUAUAACAAUAAAAUAUAGCCUCUAUUUGGCUCAGAUUUUAAUCUGAAACAAAGUCAAACAAUCAAUAUUAAUCAUAUUUUUCAUGAGCCUCAUAACUUUUCAAUUACACAUUUCAAAAAUUUCUAUCAAAAUCUAAUUUUAAUUCUCACAAAAUACCCUCAUAACGAUAAUACUAAUGAGUAUGAUGAUAAAUUAUAAAUGUAGAUAGUUGUUACAUAAUUAUGAAUAUUAAUUAUGUAAGCAUAUUUUUAUAUGAGUUAAAAAAAAAAAAAUGUAAGAUAAGAACACGGUAUGGACAUGUUAUUAUUAUUAUUAUUUUUUAAUUGCGUAUUUAUGUAUAUUCUAUCAUUAUUUAUGUAUAUAUUUUUAAAUAAAAUCAAUUCUUUUCAUUUUUGUUGAUGAAAUCCUAAAUUGAGUAGUUAUUUGUUAAUUGAAACAAUUAUAAAUUAAUCUGUAUUACAUUUUAAUUAGGAGAAGAAAAUAUACAACAUGGCCCUUGUUUGGGCCUCAUUCUUUUGCAAAAAUUCAUUUUUUAACAGUGUUUUGACAUCAUUUCAACCAUACAUUCUUCAAUAAAAUAAUAUUACACGUAAAUUUAAAAUUUUUUCUUAUUUUUUAACCAUUUUCAACCACUCAAUUUUAAAAAUAAAAAAACUAUUCCAUCCAUUUUAAUUUCAAAAAAAGGGGGUCAAAUGGGGGCAAUAUUUCUUUUGAAAGUGGGGUUGUAGUUUAUUUACUUAUUUAUUUAUAAGUAAAUUUCCUAAGCUUAGCAAACAUGUAGUAUAUGUGUUGAUGGCUUACUUAACUACAUUGUAAUGUCGAUUUGUCCUAUGCUCAAUCCCCAUUUUUUUUUAAAAUCAUUUUUUCAAAACUUAUUUUUAACUACGUAUUCUCUUAUAUAAUAAUUUUACAUGCAAAUUGAAAAAUCUUUCCUCAUUUUUUAACCAUAUAUUCAUCAACAAAAUAUUAGGUCAAAAUGCAUUUUGACCUAAAAAUGGGGCUCAGACAUGGGUUAAAUUGUUAGAGUGAUAGAAAGGAAAAAUAUACAACUAUUAGGGUGCAUUUGAUUGCAAACAUGAAAUUUGUAUGAAAAGAAAAUAAAUUUUAGGUAAUUCAUUUGCCUAGAACUUAUUUGCACGAAAAUUGUUAAUUAUAUAUGUUUGAUUGAUUUAAUUUUCAAUUUACAAAAUAUUAUACGUGUCUGGCUUUUAUUGGUGGGUAAAUAAGAGAGAGAGAGAGAGAGAGUGUGUGUGUGUGUGUGAAUUCUCUGGAAAAAAAAAACAUAUUUCCCCUAAAGAAUAUAUUUUCCUUGAUUUUAAAGAAAAUAUGAUCAUAUAAUAUAAAGUAGGAAAAUGUUUUUUAUGGAAAAAAUGUCAGUCAAACAACACAAAGUAAGAAUUUGAGUGGAAAAAACACAUUUUUCAGGAAAAUUAUUGACAAUCAAACGCACUCUUAAAUUAUAUAAGAAUUACAUUUCAUAACUAACAAUCUUAUGUAAUAGUUUCAAAAAUCAAGUGAUAAAUAUAAUAUAAUCUAAAUUAUGAUAAAAUAAAGUUUAAAAUAGAUCCUAAAAAAUAAAAAAAUAUUCCAUUUAUAAAAGAUAUUUAUCACUCUCUCUCACACAAUCAAACACCGACUUUCUCUCUCUGAACUCUGAAUUUCCAAAAUCUCUCCAAAUCACUAAAAUUUCUCCCUAAAUCUUCGAUUUCGUGCCCCAAUCAAUGUAAACUGGCAAUACAGUUGAAAACUUUUGAAAUUCAUUCUUCUAAAAAAGUUGUAGCUCGUUAUUAGAUUAAUAGGAUUUUCUGAAAGCAAAUACUGUCAUUUCGAGAGAAAUCCUACAUUAAAUUUAUAAGAUCGCAUUACAUAAAUUACAGAUGAAAUUAAUACAAACACAAAUCAAUUUUCUCAUGAUCUAAGUUCCCCAGAAAAAAUUGAGAAACCCAGCUUUAAAUUUCUAGGUUAAGGUUUGGAUUACAUAAAUUACAGAUGAAAUACAAAGAAAGAUCAAUUUAUUGAACAAUCUUGUUAUCUUAGAAGUGCACAUUCCUGUUCCCAAAUAACAAAAUAUAGCUAAUCAGCAAGAAAUAACCGAAUCCCAACGAGAACUAAAAAUAGAAACUUCAAAUCC
RNAcentral lists this long non-coding RNA (3610 nucleotides) under Olea europaea (common olive). RNAcentral's name for it is "long non-coding RNA (OEUR_LNC001006)". The record is from RNAcentral. Lineage: Eukaryota; Viridiplantae; Streptophyta; Magnoliopsida; Lamiales; Oleaceae.